UCAUAGCAUAAAAGUUCGGUAUUGUAAUUUUAACUUUUAAAUUGAAUUGGCGAUGCUCCAAAGCUAAUUCAAAUCAGCCAUGGUAUAAAAAAACUGGAACGAAAUAGUAUAUUUUUUGUGAAACAAUAAAUAUUCUAAAAUGCCUCGAAUUUUCAUUUUUUUGCUUUAUGUAGCAUUUUUUGUAAUGCUUGAUGCUCGACCAAAGAUCGCUCGUUUGAAAGAUUGGAAAAAAAAUUCAGAACUUGUCAAUUUUAACAGAUUGCAUGACCAUUCAUUGGGGCAAAAACUUGUUAACAAGAUAAAUAAACCUUUUGAUCAACUGAAAAGUCGUGUUAAAAAAGAUGCUUUUUCAAAAAAGGAAGAAACUCCACCAAAAGGAUGAUACUUGAUUAGUUUUAAUUAGAGUAUGGGAAAAAGAAUCUUUAAAACGAAAAUCAACGAUGAAAACAACAAGAGCAAUAAUUUUUAAUACUGGUUUUAUUUACGGAAUAUUUAUUAUUUCUCA
Hydra vulgaris (swiftwater hydra) is the source of this 505-nucleotide long non-coding RNA. RefSeq lists it as uncharacterized. NCBI's taxonomy places the organism in Eukaryota, Metazoa, Cnidaria, Hydrozoa, Anthoathecata, Hydridae. The record is from RefSeq and is a predicted model, not a curated record.